AUUGAACGCUGGCGGCAUGCCUUACACAUGCAAGUCGAACGGCAGCACGGGAGCAAUCCUGGUGGCGAGUGGCGAACGGGUGAGUAAUAUAUCGGAACGUGCCCAGUCGUGGGGGAUAACGUAGCGAAAGCUACGCUAAUACCGCAUACGAUCUAUGGAUGAAAGCGGGGGAUCGCAAGACCUCGCGCGAUUGGAGCGGCCGAUAUCAGAUUAGGUAGUUGGUGAGGUAAGGCUCACCAAGCCGACGAUCUGUAGCUGGUCUGAGAGGACGACCAGCCACACUGGGACUGAGACACGGCCCAGACUCCUACGGGAGGCAGCAGUGGGGAAUUUUGGACAAUGGGCGC
Molecule: ribosomal RNA, 347 nt
Filed under: uncultured bacterium
Lineage: Bacteria
Description: bacterial SSU rRNA
Rfam family: Bacterial small subunit ribosomal RNA
Source: RNAcentral